GAUGAACGCUGGCGGCGUGCUUAACACAUGCAAGUCGAACGAAGCACUUUAUUUGAUUUCCUUCGGGACUGAUUAUUUUGUGACUGAGUGGCGGACGGGUGAGUAACGCGUGGGUAACCUGCCUUGUACAGGGGGAUAACAGUUGGAAACGGCUGCUAAUACCGCAUAAGCGCGCGGCAUCGCAUGAUGCAGUGUGAAAAACUCCGGUGGUAUAAGAUGGACCCGCGUUGGAUUAGCUAGUUGGUGAGGUAACGGCCCACCAAGGCGACGAUCCAUAGCCGACAGGGGAGGGGGACAGGCCACAUUGGAGCUGAGACACAGCCCAAACUCCUACGGAAGGGAGGAGUGGGGAAUAUUGCACAAUGGACGAAGGCGUGAUGAAGCGACGCCGCGUGAGCGAAGAAGUAUUUCGGUAUGUAAAGCUCUAUGAGCAGGGAAGAUAAUGACGGUACCUGACUAAGAAGCACCGGCUAAAUACGUG
RNAcentral lists this ribosomal RNA (481 nucleotides) under uncultured bacterium. Its description in RNAcentral is "partial 16S ribosomal RNA". It matches the Rfam family "Bacterial small subunit ribosomal RNA", at positions 28 to 507 of the family's 1533-position model. The record is from RNAcentral.